GGGGAGAUAGCUCAGUUGGUAGAGUGCUUGCCUCACAUGCAUAAGGCGCUGGGUUCAAUCCCCAGCACCA
Molecule: transfer RNA, 70 nt
Filed under: Ictidomys tridecemlineatus (thirteen-lined ground squirrel)
Lineage: Eukaryota; Metazoa; Chordata; Mammalia; Rodentia; Sciuridae
Description: Spermophilus tridecemlineatus (thirteen-lined ground squirrel) tRNA
Rfam family: tRNA
About the family: Transfer RNA (tRNA) molecules are approximately 80 nucleotides in length. Their secondary structure includes four short double-helical elements and three loops (D, anti-codon, and T loops).
Source: Rfam by way of RNAcentral